AGAGUUUGAUUAUGGCUCAGGAUGAACGCUAGCUACAGGCUUAACACAUGCAAGUCGAGGGGCAGCAUGACCUAGCAAUAGGUUGAUGGCGACCGGCGCACGGGUGAGUAACACGUAUCCAACCUACCGGUUAUUCCGGGAUAGCCUUUCGAAAGAAAGAUUAAUACCGGAUAGUAUAGCGAGAAGGCAUCUUCUUGUUAUUAAGAAUUUCGAUAACCGAUGGGAUGCGUUCCAUUAGUUUGUUGGCGGGGUAACGGCCCACCAAGACAUCGAUGGAUAGGGGUUCUGAGAGGAAGGUCCCCCACAUUGGAGCUGAGACACGGUCCAAACUCCUACGGGAGGCAGCAGUGAGGAAUAUUGGUCAAUGGACGAGAGUCUGAACCAGCCAAGUAGCGUGAAAAGGAUGACUGCCCUAUGGGUUGUAAACUUCUUUUAUAUGGGAAUAAAGUGAGCCACGUGUGGCUUUUUGUAUGCACCAUACGAAUAAGGAUCGGCUAACUCCGUGCCAGCAGCGGC
Molecule: ribosomal RNA, 516 nt
Filed under: uncultured bacterium
Lineage: Bacteria
Description: bacterial SSU rRNA
Rfam family: Bacterial small subunit ribosomal RNA
Source: RNAcentral